Fukomys damarensis (Damara mole-rat) is the source of this 238-nucleotide long non-coding RNA. RefSeq lists it as uncharacterized. Lineage: Eukaryota; Metazoa; Chordata; Mammalia; Rodentia; Bathyergidae. The transcript has 3 exons. The record is from RefSeq and is a predicted model, not a curated record.
GGAAGAUCACAGACACUCUAAACCCACCAGGCUGGAGGAGGGGUGGUGUGAACCCACAGCGAUGGAAAGACUUCUCAGCUAGCAACCUGGAAGACAGUCGGGUGGGGCCAUCCAUGGGGUAAAGAACUCACAAUACAGUCAGUGAGUAUUCCAGUUCAUUUUGUUCUUCCGUCUUCUCCUACUUUGUGAGCAGCGAAGGCCCAAGAAGACACCAGCCUGGCAGCAUCUACCAAAUCAG